Leptidea sinapis is the source of this 73-nucleotide non-coding RNA. NCBI's taxonomy places the organism in Eukaryota, Metazoa, Arthropoda, Insecta, Lepidoptera, Pieridae. The record is from the annotation of a RefSeq genome assembly.
GAACGGUUGGCUCAGUUGAAAGAGCGCUCACUCGGGAUGCGAGAGGUCGCGGGUUCAAGUCCCGCAUCGUUCA